GGAUCAUUACCGAGUUAUACAACUCAUCAACCCUGUGAACAUACCUAUAACGUUGCCUCGGCGGGAACAGACGGCCCCGUAACACGGGCCGCCCCCGCCAGAGGACCCCCUAACUCUGUUUCUAUAAUGUUUCUUCUGAGUAAACAAGCAAAUAAAUUAAAACUUUCAACAACGGAUCUCUUGGCUCUGGCAUCGAUGAAGAACGCAGCGAAAUGCGAUAAGUAAUGUGAAUUGCAGAAUUCAGUGAAUCAUCGAAUCUUUGAACGCACAUUGCGCCCGCCAGUAUUCUGGCGGGCAUGCCUGUUCGAGCGUCAUUACAACCCUCAGGCCCCCGGGCCUGGCGUUGGGGAUCGGCGGAAGCCCCCUGCGGGCACAACGCCGUCCCCCAAAUACAGUGGCGGUCCCGCCGCAGCUUCCAUUGCGUAGUAGCUAACACCUCGCAACUGGAGAGCGGCGCGGCCACGCCGUAAAACACCCAACUUCUGAAUGUUGACCUCGAAUCAGGUAGGAAUACCCGCUGAACUUAAGCAUAU
Molecule: ribosomal RNA, 533 nt
Filed under: Fusarium falciforme
Lineage: Eukaryota; Fungi; Ascomycota; Sordariomycetes; Hypocreales; Nectriaceae
Description: eukaryotic LSU rRNA
Rfam family: 5.8S ribosomal RNA (bases 161-314)
Source: RNAcentral